RNAcentral lists this transfer RNA (67 nucleotides) under Wyulda squamicaudata. RNAcentral describes it as "tRNA-Cys". Lineage: Eukaryota; Metazoa; Chordata; Mammalia; Diprotodontia; Phalangeridae. The record is from RNAcentral.
GACUUUGAAGUAUGUAUUACGUUGAAUUGCAAAUUCAAAAAAGUAGUUAGGAAAACUGCCAAGGUCU